GUGUUAUGAUUGCCAAUAAGACAACUUUCCACAAGAGACCAAAUGACACAGAAACUAAUAACUAUUAGUCACCGUGCGGCCUUCAACAAUGAGCAAAGCAAAUACUGCAUAUUCAGCUAUAAAAGGCCCCGAUAUGACAAAUAUUAAACAAUUCAAAUGAGAUAACUAACGGCCUAAUUAAUGUACAAAAAAUAAAUAGAAAACAAAUAUGUUACACAUAAAAAAAAAGAAAACAACUGAAUUACAGCCUUGGGACAACACAUACAUACAUAAUGUGGCGGGUUUAACAUGUUAGCGAUAUUCAUGCCCUCGCAUAACCUGGGACAGUGUAAAAUAGUACAAAAA
This 345-nucleotide long non-coding RNA is filed under the name Mytilus galloprovincialis (Mediterranean mussel). Lineage: Eukaryota; Metazoa; Mollusca; Bivalvia; Mytilida; Mytilidae. The record is from RNAcentral.